Molecule: long non-coding RNA, 498 nt
Organism: Peromyscus californicus insignis
Lineage: Eukaryota; Metazoa; Chordata; Mammalia; Rodentia; Cricetidae
Exons: 5
Source: RefSeq, a predicted model, not a curated record
CCUCGCUGAGGUUGUAGCGCGCCCGCAGCUCCAGCUGCCGCAGCUCCAGCCGCUGCCGCUCGAUCAUCUCCGGCUCCGACUCCAGCGCGUCGAACACGGCGGCGCCCACCAGCAGAUUAGGAAACUGAGGCCUGGACAGUAAUGAGAAGAAUAAUGAAGAUCUUAGAGACCCUUGGACCUGUCCGUGCCUGCCCAAAGUCAGCCUGUCUCUUUGUCCGUGUUUGCUGUAGCUUUGGAGGCCUCCCUAUUUUCUCCGUAGCCUCCUUCUUAGUCUCUCUUUUCUCCUCUCUUCUUUGGAACCUCUGCACCCUCACACUGGAAGCAGGGACAGAGGGUGGACUCAGCCCACGACUGAGAUCUCUUACAGACCAACAGGUUGAGAUGAUCUCCCAGCUACUGCUCCAACUGCCUCCUUACCGGCUGCCUCGGCUCUGCUGACUUGGACUCUAACCCUCUGGAACUGUCUACCCCAAAUAAACUCUUCCUUCUAUAAUUUGC